Paramormyrops kingsleyae is the source of this 2691-nucleotide long non-coding RNA. RefSeq lists it as uncharacterized. The record is from RefSeq and is a predicted model, not a curated record. NCBI's taxonomy places the organism in Eukaryota, Metazoa, Chordata, Actinopteri, Osteoglossiformes, Mormyridae.
CAACACAGAGCGCAUGCGUCAACUUCCCUUCACAUCAUGGACAACGAAAAGUUAAUUUUGGAGGUGGAAAAACACGGAAUUGUGUACGACCCCAGACAUCCUUUUUACAAGGAUAAUAGUAGAAAGGAGAAGGCAUAGAGUGAAACUGCAGAAGUUUUGGGAUUUGACGCGGCGCGCCGGAUCAGACACGGACCACAAAGCGUCCAGUGCAAAUUGGCGGACGGCCUCGGACGGAAUGGGAAUGCAGCGCAGUCGCACCGCAGCGGAUACGCAUCCAGUGUAAAACAGGGGUAAAUCCACUGCCGCAAAACUGGCACCUUCUUCAACCUACACCUGGAGGCUGCAAUAGCGUCUGCUGAACUGAAGGGGGAGACAGCAGAGCUAAAACCCACAGCACUGUCCUUUCUGGACUUGAUUCAAGUGCAUUCAACACAACAAUUCUAGGCCCAGCUGCUGGCAGAGAAGCUCAGAAGGAUUGAGGUGAAUGAUGUCUUGACAGCCUGGAAAACGGACCUCCCAUGCAGCCCUCAGCAUGUCCGCCUCAGUGGCCUCAUGUCACAGGCAGUACUGAGUAGCACAGAGCACCUCAAGGGACUGUGCCUUUGCCAUUCCUGUUCACUCUCUACAGCACCGACUUCUGGAACAACACCGGCCUUUGCCACCUAUAGAAAUUCUCAAAUGAUUCUGCAACUGUGGGGCGCAUCAGUGAAGCGGAGAAAAAGGAGUACAGAAGUCUAAUGGAGAGCUGUGUUAUAUGGCAUAAGGAGAACCACAUACAGGCCAAUGUCAAGAAGACAGAGGACUGGGUGGAAGGACUUCAGAUGAACCAGUCAACUACCAUGUCACCAUCCGUGGGGCAUGUCUAGAAAUUGUCCACAGUGACAAGUAGCUGGGAGUCACCAUCCACGGGGUGAGGGUAGAGAUGGUCCACAGUGACAUGUAGUUGGGAGUCACCAUCCACGGGGAGAGUGUAGAGAUGGUCCACAGUGACAUGUAGCCUGGAGUCACUAUCCAUGUGGUGAGUGUAGAGAUGGUCCGCAGUGACAUGUAGCUUGACAUACUUAUUUGUCAUAUUUUAACUUUGCUUAUUGUCUUUUAUAGCAUUGUGCAACAAUCUUAACGUUGUUGUAAUGUACAGUGUCAAUGAUACAUGAGCAAUGAAAAUAGAGAUAUUCAUUUUGCAUAGCAGUGUAUUGUUUUACAUGUAAUUCUUAUGAAAUGCAUUAUGUUUAUUACUGGUCUUCCUUUACAUAUUUAUUGACCUUUAAUAUUGACAUUAUAUUUGGCUGUUGUAUUCCGUUUUUUUCUGUGCUACUGGACAAACACAGGGAUCAUCCACCCAUUUUCUGUACUCACUUGUCCCAUUCGGGGUUGUGUGGGGUCUGGAGCCUAUACUGGGAGCUAUAGGUGCAAGGCAGGGAAUAACCCAGUAGAGAGCUCCAACCCAUCAAAGGGCACACUAUUCACAUCUGUAGCCAAUUUGGCAACUCUCAAUCAUCUCAGCAUGUUUUUGGACUGUGGAGGGAAACCAGUGUACCUGGAGGAAAUGCCAUGAUGACACGGGGAGAACAUGCAAAUGCCACAAACGGAGCCAUGGCAGAGACUCGAAUGCUGGUCCCAGAGGUGUGAGGCAAUGGUGCCAACCAAUACACCACCAUGUAGGAAUUAGUGAAGUUUAACCUUAACUAUAGUAAGUAUGUCCUAACCAGCCCUGUGCUGCUAAUGCAACAAUCAUACAUUUUAAGAGCUUAAUCCUGCAAACCUCAGAUGUCAGAUUAUUUCAGUUAUAUUUAUUUUGCAGGCACUUUUGUCCAAAGCAACAAACAUUUGGGGAAGAUGGUGACGCAGGAGGUAGUGCUAUCGUUCAGCAAUUGGAGGGUUGCAGGUUCGAGCCCUGGUUCCUCCUGACCCCAUCAAAGUGUCCUUGAGCAAGACACUGAACCCCAAAUUGCUCCCUUGCACGGCAGCCUUUGCCACCAGUGUAUGAAUGGGUGAAUGUGAGGCAUGAAUUGUAAAACGUCCAUUUACAAAGUCCAUUUACCAAACAUUUAAGAAGGAAGGGCCAGUCAGUCCCCAGAGCAACUGGAGAUAAGGGCCUUAACCCUGUUCCACAUACUGCAGUACUACAUAAAUGUUUCACUGGGCAAAGACAUCUAGGUCCAGAUCUACUACUAGCAAUGGGGUCUACCUGACUGGACUUCUGAUCAUUGUCACUGGACAGCAGCUCUCGGUUGGAUGGGAAAUCCCAAAGCUGGACAUCUAUAGAGACGUUACCCCGCAGGCUGCUGAGCACGAGAAUCCUUGGUGCCGUACCGAUAGAGACGUUACCCCGCAGGCUGCUGAGCCUGAGACUCCUUGGUGCCGUACCGAUAGAGACGUUACCCCGCAGGCUGCUGAGCCUGAGACUCCUUGGUUCUGUACUGAUUGCUGGCCAGGGUCUCUGCUACGAGACCUCAGAUGAGCUGGCUGUGCAGGAGAAGUGGAGCCUGCAUGUUUCCAGGUCUGAAAUAUGUGAAUCUACAUCUACAACCUCUAUGUAACCCAGUAAUGUAGCAUAUUUAUUCUCACCUCCAGUAAAAAUCCUGUGUGUUUAUCCCCUCCAGCCAAUGCUGUGCUCUGGUUACCAGCGUUUAUUCUUCAUUCUUGUUUCUCGUUUCUCUUCUUGUUAUAUGUUUGUUUCAUUUAUUAUGU